GGGAGGGAGGGGCCCCCUCCUCUGCUCCCUCCUCUGCUUGGAGCUUCGCGGUUUGUUCGCCAAGUCAAGAGCUUUUGCAUUCUUUUGAUUUAGAACGGCAAACUUUGAUUCCAUUCAGCAGGAAGCGAGGCCCUCUGCACAUGCGUAGAGGCACGGUGCCUUUGCCUUUCUUUGGAUUAGCCGCACGAACGGAGGCUGGAGACUGGGGCCGCCUGUGCAGCAGCAGCAGCAGCAGCAGCAGCCGCCGCCCCGCCGCUGAAACUUGCCCCAGGGCCCUCCCGUCCCUUGGAGUCCGUGUGUGGUGGUCCCGGGCGGUGGACCAGCGGUCAGGAGCCCAGGGCGGUGUACUACAUGCUUAAAUUUUUCCUCACAACAACCCUGCGAAGUAGGCUAGGCUGAGAGAAAAGUGACUGGCCCAGCGUCACAACCAUCGAGUCUCAUGGCUGAACGGGGAUUUGAACUCGGGUCUCCUCAGUCCUAGUCCAGCACUCUAACCACUACACCACAAUGGAGGAGCCUUGAACAAAAAUGAAGGGCGGAAGAGGGUAUGGAGCAAUUUAACUGGUGACUUGGACUGAUUUGGCAAGUUCGUUAGUCUAAGUAGGCUCUAGCCUCUGAGGCUUGGAAUUGUGUGGGGUGAAUAAUUUGCCGGUGGUGAAAAUGCUCCGGCUGACCAGUAGGGGGCAGCAGAACUGCGUCUUGAGUAUUUCUCUCUGGUUUGCAGGGCAGAUGCUGUGCUUGUUCAAGUAUUUUGCAAAAUAAAGGCAGGAAGGUCAAGGGGUUGCUUGUUUGAGGCUGUAAGCGCUUCUCCUCCGCGGAGGAAAUAAGGAAACACGCAUGCACGCACACGGGGCGUGGAGUGGAGCAGUGGACAGGGAAUGAGCCGUUUGCCAGGAGAAGCCCAGGAUUCCAGCAGAGCCUUUGGGGUGGGCUGCCUGCCAACCUGAGCACGGGGCCCAGCCCCAUUCCUCCAACUCCGUGGGGCAGGAAGUGUUGUUUUUGCCAAGGGCUGCCCAGCCGGCCUCUCUCCUCCUGCUCUCCCUCGGCAGGCAACUGGAGCACGUAGGGAGCCUGCCUUGCAAAACCACACGGCUGCCUCCUAAUGCUCUGGGACGAAGCCGGAGGGAGGGUGAGGCCCUGGCUGAGCGCACGUGCCGUGCCCGCUCUGUUCACCAACAACACGGGCUCGAUGGGGCCCUGGGGUGGAGACGCUGGCCGGCCGGGCAGGACGGCUUGAGGAGCAGCAGGCUUCCUUCUCUGCUGUGUUGGGGAAAGGGGGAGAUUCGGGGCAGGGUAAUCCAGCAUCCUCUGAGCCCCCUGUGGGUGCCAGUUUAUAGACUCUUACAGAGUCUAUCCUGCCCUUGUACAGAUCUAUGGUGCGGCCACAUCUGGAGUGCGGCGUACAGCUUCACGGCACCACGUAUCUCCAGAAGGACAUUGUAGAACUAAAAAGGGUGCCGAAGGGGGCAGCCCAGAGGACCAGGGGCCUGGAGCACUUGCCUUGUGAGGCAAGGCUACACCUCUGGGGCUCUUCACCUUGCAAAAGAGGCAUGAUAAAGUUUUAUAUAAUUAUGCAUGGAGAGGGGAGGGUGGUCCGAGAGGAUUUUUCCUCCCUCUCGCGUCACACUAGCACCAGGGGUCACCCCAUGAAACUGAAGGUCGGGAAAUUUAGGACCGACAAGAGGAAGUCCUUUUUCACACCGGGCAUAAUUGGAGCCUCCCCAUCUGUGGCAGCUUUUAAAAAGGCACUGAAGAUGCAUUUACUCACCCAGGCUUUUCAUUAGAUUUAUGGUUUAAAUUUUUUGAAUGCUGGUUUUAAAUGAUUUUAAUGUGAAUGUUUUUAAUGUUUCAGUGAUUUCAGUUGUUUAAUUGAUUUAGUUUUGAUUUUAACUGUUAAUUGAUUUUAAUUGUUUUUAUUUGUCAUA
This is a long non-coding RNA of Hemicordylus capensis (graceful crag lizard), 1925 nucleotides long. RefSeq lists it as uncharacterized. Lineage: Eukaryota; Metazoa; Chordata; Lepidosauria; Squamata; Cordylidae. The record is from RefSeq and is a predicted model, not a curated record. The transcript has 3 exons.